AGAGAGAGAAGGGGGGGAGGGGUGGUGUGAUGGAAAUGGAAGGGCAAUGGGGUAUAAAUUGGGAAUAGAUGAGGGUAAAUUUUGAUUUUAAAAUUUCUCUCUCCUUAGACUUAUUUUUUUUAGCUUGGACUAUUGACAAAACCAUUUUCAAUUGGAUGGAAUGACUAAAUGGUUGACGGACUAAAAAUUUAGGGAUGUGCUAAUGUAAUUGUGAAAAUACAAGGAUUAAAGGCAAUACCCAAGGACUAUUGUGAUUCAUCCUUUCUUUUUUUAUUAACUAAUUGCUGAUCAAGAGCUUAUGUUCGCAGCUAUGGUGGAUCCAUGGUGGUUUCUGUUAAGUGCUGCAAUACCAGCUGUUAUUGCAGGGCAAGCUUUUAGGAUGAAGAAAAAGAGAGCUGAAGAGCAGAGGCUAAAGACUGCCAGAGGACGUGAGAAAAGCUCUGAUGAAAUUUUUGUU
This 457-nucleotide unclassified non-coding RNA is filed under the name Hevea brasiliensis (rubber tree). The record is from RNAcentral. Lineage: Eukaryota; Viridiplantae; Streptophyta; Magnoliopsida; Malpighiales; Euphorbiaceae.